GUAGGGAAUAUUGGGCAAUGGAAGGAAUUCUGACCCAGCCAUGCCGCGUGCAGGAAUACAGUCCUAUGGACUUUAAACUGCUUUUAUUAUAGAGUAACCUGGGGGACGUGUCCCCCACUGCAAGUAUAUAAUGAAUAAGCAUCGGCUAACUCCGUGCCAGCAGCCGCGGUAAUACGGGGGAUGCAAGCGUUAUCCGGAUUUAUUGGGUUUAAAGGGUGCGCAGGCUGAUCGGUAAGUCAUGGGUGAAAAGUCACUGCUUAACAGUGAUCGUGCCUAUGAUACUGCCGGACUAGAGUUUAAGAGGUGUAACUGGAAUGUGAUGUGUAGCGGAGAAAUGCUUAGAUAUGUCACAGAACGCCAAUCGUGAAGACAGGUUACAAACUUAAUACUGACGCUCAUGCACGAAAGCGUGGGGAUCAAACAGGAUUAGAAACCCGGGUAGUCC
This 445-nucleotide ribosomal RNA is filed under the name uncultured bacterium. Its description in RNAcentral is "partial 16S ribosomal RNA". It matches the Rfam family "Bacterial small subunit ribosomal RNA", at positions 354 to 796 of the family's 1533-position model. The record is from RNAcentral.